UACGUAGGGACCAAGCGUUGUUCGGAUUUACUGGGCGUAAAGGGCGCGUAGGCGGCUUGACAAGUCACUUGUGAAAUCUCCGGGCUUAACUCGGAACGGCCAAGUGAAACUGUCAUGCUAGAGUGCAGAAGGGGCAAUCGGAAUUCUUGGUGUAGCGGUGAAAUGCGUAGAUAUCUGGAGGAACACCGGUGGCGAAGGCGGCGUUCUGGACUGCAACUGACACUGUAAAACGAAAGCCAGGGGAGCAAACGGG
Molecule: ribosomal RNA, 253 nt
Filed under: uncultured bacterium
Lineage: Bacteria
Description: partial 16S ribosomal RNA
Rfam family: Bacterial small subunit ribosomal RNA
Source: RNAcentral